Molecule: ribosomal RNA, 424 nt
Filed under: uncultured Prevotella sp.
Lineage: Bacteria; Pseudomonadati; Bacteroidota; Bacteroidia; Bacteroidales; Prevotellaceae
Description: bacterial SSU rRNA
Rfam family: Bacterial small subunit ribosomal RNA
Source: RNAcentral
UGAGGAAUAUUGGUCAAUGGGCGAGAGCCUGAACCAGCCAAGUAGCGUGCAGGAAGACGGCCCUAUGGGUUGUAAACUGCUUUUAUGUGGGGAUAAAGUGCGCGACGUGUCGUGCAUUGCAGGUACCACAUGAAUAAGGACCGGCUAAUUCCGUGCCAGCAGCCGCGGUAAUACGGAAGGUCCGGGCGUUAUCCGGAUUUAUUGGGUUUAAAGGGAGCGUAGGCUGUCUAUUAAGCGUGUUGUGAAAUUUACCGGCUCAACCGGUGGCUUGCAGCGCGAACUGGUCGACUUGAGUAUGCAGGAAGUAGGCGGAAUUCAUGGUGUAGCGGUGAAAUGCUUAGAUAUCAUGACGAACUCCGAUUGCGCAGGCAGCUUACUGUAGCAUAACUGACGCUGAUGCUCGAAAGUGCGGGUAUCAAACAGG